GGACUACCGGGGUAUCUAAUCCCGUUUGCUCCCCUAGCUUUCGCGCCUCAGCGUCAGUAUCGGGCCAGAUGAGCGCUUUCGCCACCGGUGUUCCUCCUGAUAUCUACGCAUUUCACCGCUACACCAGGAAUUCCCUCAUCCUCUCCCGUACUCAAGCCUAGCAGUAUGGGAUGCAGAUCCUCGGGUGAGCCGAGGGAUUUCACAUCCCACUUACCAGACCGCCUACACGCCCUUUACGCCCAGUGAUUCCGAACAACGCUUGCUCCCCCCGUGUUACCGCGGCUGCUGGCAC
RNAcentral lists this ribosomal RNA (292 nucleotides) under uncultured bacterium. RNAcentral's name for it is "partial 16S ribosomal RNA". The record is from RNAcentral.